GAGAACCUCCUAACUAGGAUCUUUUGAAACGCCAACAACUUGCUUUCGACGUUUUAAAACAGACUCAUUUCCUCCCAGUUAUAAUCCAGUGUUACGCCAGGCCAAAGAAAAAGAAACCCAAACCGAAGCCAUUAAUUCCAGUCUCUAAUUCUAUACCAGACUAGCCGGACCUGGACUUUACUCUUAACUACCUCUGGUUCCGCAACAGAAUUCUCCAAUGCCUCUUUGAUGAUCGACUUCAAGGCACUUUCACAGCAGCUGAGAGUUUACUUUACCUCACUCUGGAAGAGGUGCCGUCAUCCGCCCGUUUGCUCUUAGUAAGAAAGCCAUGCAGAGACAUGAAGAAA
Long non-coding RNA from Neofelis nebulosa (Clouded leopard), 347 nucleotides. RefSeq lists it as uncharacterized. The transcript is spliced from 3 exons. Lineage: Eukaryota; Metazoa; Chordata; Mammalia; Carnivora; Felidae. The record is from RefSeq and is a predicted model, not a curated record.